AGUGAACGCUGGCGGUAGGCCUAACACAUGCAAGUCGAACGGCAGCACAGUAAGAGCUUGCUCUUACGGGUGGCGAGUGGCGGACGGGUGAGGAAUACAUCGGAAUCUACUUUUUCGUGGGGGAUAACGUAGGGAAACUUACGCUAAUACCGCAUACGACCUACGGGUGAAAGCAGGGGAUCUUCGGACCUUGCGCGAUUGAAUGAGCCGAUGUCGGAUUAGCUAGUUGGCGGGGUAAAGGCCCACCAAGGCGACGAUCCGUAGCUGGUCUGAGAGGAUGGUCGGCCACACUGGAGCUGAGACACGGUCCAGACUCCUACGGGAGGCAGCAGUGGGGAAUAUUGGACAAUGGGCGCAAGCCUGAUCCAGCCAUACCGCGUGGGUGAAGAAGGCCUUCGGGUUGUAAAGCCCUUUUGUUGGGAAAGAAAAGCAGCAGGUUAAUACCCCGCUGUUCUGACGGUACCCAAAGAAUAAGCACCGGCUAACUUCGUG
Molecule: ribosomal RNA, 492 nt
Filed under: uncultured bacterium
Lineage: Bacteria
Description: partial 16S ribosomal RNA
Rfam family: Bacterial small subunit ribosomal RNA
Source: RNAcentral